This 525-nucleotide ribosomal RNA is filed under the name uncultured bacterium. RNAcentral's name for it is "partial 16S ribosomal RNA". It matches the Rfam family "Bacterial small subunit ribosomal RNA", at positions 34 to 540 of the family's 1533-position model. The record is from RNAcentral.
AUUGAACGCUGGCGGCAGGCCUAACACAUGCAAGUCGAGCGGAUGAAGGGAGCUUGCUCCUGGAUUCAGCGGCGGACGGGUGAGUAAUGCCUAGGAAUCUGCCUGGUAGUGGGGGAUAACGUCCGGAAACGGGCGCUAAUACCGCAUACGUCCUGAGGGAGAAAGUGGGGGAUCUUCGGACCUCACGCUAUCAGAUGAGCCUAGGUCGGAUUAGCUAGUUGGUGGGGUAAAGGCCUACCAAGGCGACGAUCCGUAACUGGUCUGAGAGGAUGAUCAGUCACAAGGGGAGAGAGGUGCGGCAUAGAGUAGGGGGGGAGGCAGCAGGGGAGAAUAGUGGUCGGGGGGAGAAAGGAGGAGACAGCAAGGCCGCGUGGGGGAAGAAUGUUUUGUGAUUGUAAGGCAUUGUGUGGGGGGGGGAAGGGCAGUAAGUUAAUGCCUUUCUGGGUUGACGGAACCAACAUAAAAAGCACCGGCUAACUGCGUGCCAGCAGCCGCAGUAAUAAUCGGAAGAGCACACGGCUGAAC